GACGAACGCUGGCGGCGUGCUUAACACAUGCAAGUCGAACGGAAAGGCCCUGCUUUUGUGGGGUGCUCGAGUGGCGAACGGGUGAGUAACACGUGAGUAACCUGCCCUUGACUUUGGGAUAACUUCAGGAAACUGGGGCUAAUACCGGAUAGGAGCUCCUGCUGCAUGGUGGGGGUUGGAAAGUUUCGGCGGUUGGGGAUGGACUCGCGGCUUAUCAGCUUGUUGGUGGGGUAGUGGCUUACCAAGGCUUUGACGGGUAGCCGGCCUGAGAGGGUGACCGGCCACAUUGGGACUGAGAUACGGCCCAGACUCCUACGGGAGGCAGCAGUGGGGAAUAUUGCACAAUGGGCGGAAGCCUGAUGCAGCAACGCCGCGUGCGGGAUGACGGCCUUCGGGUUGUAAACCGCUUUCGCCUGUGACGAAGCGUGAGUGACGGGAAUGGGUAAAGAAGCACCGGCUAACUACG
RNAcentral lists this ribosomal RNA (466 nucleotides) under uncultured bacterium. RNAcentral describes it as "partial 16S ribosomal RNA". It matches the Rfam family "Bacterial small subunit ribosomal RNA", at positions 28 to 505 of the family's 1533-position model. The record is from RNAcentral.